AAACCGCAUGGUUUUGAUUUGAAAGGCGCUUUCGGGUGUCGCUGAUGGAUGGACCCGCGGUGCAUUAGCUAGUUGGUGAGGUAACGGCUCACCAAGGCCACGAUGCAUAGCCGACCUGAGAGGGUGAUCGGCCACAUUGGGACUGAGACACGGCCCAAACUCCUACGGGAGGCAGCAGUAGGGAAUCUUCGGCAAUGGACGAAAGUCUGACCGAGCAACGCCGCGUGAGUGAAGAAGGUUUUCGGAUCGUAAAACUCUGUUGUUAGAGAAGAACAAGGAUGAGAGUAACUGUUCAUCCCUUGACGGUAUCUAACCAGAAAGCCACGGCUAACUACGUGCCAGCAGCCGCGGUAAUACGUAGGUGGCAAGCGUUGUCCGGAUUUAUUGGGCGUAAAGCGAGCGCAGGCGGUUUCUUAAGUCUGAUGUGAAAGCCCCCGGCUCAACCGGGGAGGGUCAUUGGAAACUGGGAGACUUGAGUGCAGAAGAGGAGAGUGGAAUUCCAUGUGUAGCGGUGAAAUGCGUAGAUAUAUGGAGGAACACCAGUGGCGAAGGCGGCUCUCUGGUCUGUAACUGACGCUGAGGCUCGAAAGCGUGGGGAGCAAACAGGAUUAGAUACCCUGGUAGUCCACGCCGUAAACGAUGAGUGCUAAGUGUUGGAGGGUUUCCGCCCUUCAGUGCUGCAGCUAACGCAUUAAGCACUCCGCCUGGGGAGUACGACCGCAAGGUUGAAACUCAAAGGAAUUGACGGGGGCCCGCACAAGCGGUGGAGCAUGUGGUUUAAUUCGAAGCAACGCGAAGAACCUUACCAGGUCUUGACAUCCUUUGACCACUCUAGAGAUAGAGCUUCCCCUUC
Molecule: ribosomal RNA, 853 nt
Filed under: Enterococcus sp. 1547_E05
Lineage: Bacteria; Bacillati; Bacillota; Bacilli; Lactobacillales; Enterococcaceae
Description: bacterial SSU rRNA
Rfam family: Bacterial small subunit ribosomal RNA
Source: RNAcentral